CCUACGGGUGGCAGCAGUGGGGGAUAUUGCACAAUGGGGGAAACCCUGAUGCAGCGACGCCGCGUGGGCGAAGAAGUAUUUCGGUAUGUAAAGCCCUAUCAGCAGGGAAGAAGAAAUGACGGUACCUGAGUAAGAAGCACCGGCUAAAUACGUGCCAGCAGCCGCGGUAAUACGGAGGGUGUGAGCGUUAAUCGGAAUUACUGGGUGUAAAGCGCUUGUAGGCGGUAUGUCAAGUCAAGGGUGAAAUCCCCGCGCUCAACGUGGGAACUGCCUUUGAAACUGGCAAACUGGAGUGUGUGAGAGGAUAGUGGAAUUCCUGGUGUAGGAGUGAAAUGCGUAGAUAUCAGGAGGAACAUCAGUGGCGAAGGCGGAUUGCUGGCACAUAACUGACGCUGAGGAGCGAAAGCGUGGGUAGCAAACAGGAUUAGAUACCCUUGUAGUC
RNAcentral lists this ribosomal RNA (442 nucleotides) under uncultured bacterium. Its description in RNAcentral is "partial 16S ribosomal RNA". It matches the Rfam family "Bacterial small subunit ribosomal RNA", at positions 338 to 795 of the family's 1533-position model. The record is from RNAcentral.